ACGUGGGGUGCAAGCGUAUCCGGAUUAUUGGGCGUAAAGAGUUCGUAGGCGUUUUGCUAAGUUUCGUUUGAAAGCCCGAGGCUCAACUUCGGACCCGGACGAAAAACUGACAGAAUCGAGUCAUCUAGGGGGUACUGGAACUCAUAGUGUAGCAGUGAAAUGCGUUGAUAUUAUGAGGAACACCAAGGGCGAAGGCAGGUACCUGGGGGUUGACUGACGCUGAGGAACGAAAGCUAGGGGAGCGAAAGGGAUUAGAGACCCCUGUAGUCCUAGCCGUAAACGAUGUCCGCUUGAUCUUCGGGAUUUUUACGAGGGUCGGAGCUAACGCAUGAAGCGGACCGCCUGGGGAGUACGACCGCAAGGUUAAAACUCAAAGGAAUUGACGGGGAGGCGCACAACCAGGGGAGCAUGUGGUUCAAUUCGAUACGAAGCGAAAGACCUCACCCAGAUUUGACAUAACACCGUUUAGUCCUGAGGAAACUCGGGAUGAUCCGCCAAAAGUGGAUGGUAUUACAGCUGCUGCAUGACUGUCGUCAGCUCGUGCCGUGGGGUGUCUACUUAAGUGUAGAAACGAGCGCAACCCUUAUCCGAUGUUCAAUAGUCUUCGGAAACUGCCACGCGUAUAGCGAGGAGGAAGGAGGGGAUGACGUCAAGUCAGCAUGGCGCUUAUAUCUGGGGGCCACACACAUCCUACAAUGGGAAGGUACAAUGGGUUGCCAAGCCGCAAGGCGGAGCUAAUCCCUGUAAAACUUCCCUCAGUUCAGAUCGGGGUCUGCAACUCGACCCCGUGAAGCCGGACUUGGUAGUAAUCGCGAAUCAG
This 820-nucleotide ribosomal RNA is filed under the name uncultured Microgenomates group bacterium. Its description in RNAcentral is "bacterial SSU rRNA". It matches the Rfam family "Bacterial small subunit ribosomal RNA", at positions 525 to 1352 of the family's 1533-position model. The record is from RNAcentral.